ACGAUAAGAGGAGAAUUGAGAGAGGGAGGAAUGGCGUUGGAUCGGUGCUGCUUGUUCCUCGAGAUCCUCAUCUCGAUCGCGCUGCCUCCCGUGGGCGUCUUCCUCCACUACGGCUGCUGCAGCGUACAAAUUCCGAUCACAAUCUCUCGGCUUUGUUCCCUGUUUACCCUUCUUAUUGUUCAGCUGAUGUCGAUGCUCUGUCUGUUUCUUUGAUCCGAAGCUGGAAUUCUGCAUCUGUUUGCUGCUGACGGUUUUGGGGUACGUCCCGGGGAUCAUCUACGCCAUCUACGUGCUCGUGGCCGUCGAUCCCGAGCCCUACCGUCGGGGCUACUACCAGCCCCUUGCUUAGGAUGGCUCCAACGCGCAUCCCGGGUCUGUCCAAGAUAAUGGUAACAAGCAAAAAAUCAAAUCAGAUGCUGGUGAUCCUUGUGACCUUACCGACAACAUUGAGAAUCACAUAGUUGAUGCAGGUGCUACGGAUGAUGGUGAAGGGCAUGGAGCAUUUGAAGAUAAAAUUUUGCAUAAGUCAACUAUGAUGAUUACAGUGGGAACGGAAACGAAGACUACUGGAUCAUAAAUAGCAGGUUUGAACUUGUCAGAAGGAAAUAAAAAGGAGAUAUGUUAUUCUAGUACCGAAAGAAGCCUGAAGAGAGAUGGUGUAAGCUAGAACAGUAAAAAAAGGUGAUGGUUUUAUCAUCAGAAAAAGCAAUGUUGAUGAUGACUGCAUGUUACCAGGGAGGGUCUUGAAGCUGUUUGGAUGGAAGACAUUUGAAGGAUUAUUGUUGAAUCUGAUGUUAGAAAUCUAGAACAAAGAGAGACAGAAAAAACCCUCCUUUAUAACUCUUAUCUGAUUGGUCUGGAAUAUUAAAUUUUUUUUUUCUGAAAUCAAAAGUAUAUCAUGUCUUUAAA
This is a long non-coding RNA of Musa acuminata subsp. malaccensis (wild Malaysian banana), 909 nucleotides long. RefSeq lists it as uncharacterized. Lineage: Eukaryota; Viridiplantae; Streptophyta; Magnoliopsida; Zingiberales; Musaceae. The record is from RefSeq and is a predicted model, not a curated record.